Molecule: ribosomal RNA, 448 nt
Filed under: uncultured bacterium
Lineage: Bacteria
Description: bacterial SSU rRNA
Rfam family: Bacterial small subunit ribosomal RNA
Source: RNAcentral
AACGAACGCUGGCGGCAGGCUUAACACAUGCAAGUCGAACGCUCCGCAAGGAGAGUGGCAGACGGGUGAGUAACGCGUGGGAAUCUACCCAGUUCUACGGAACAACUGAGGGAAACUUCAGCUAAUACCGUAUACGCCCUAUGGGGGAAAGAUUUAUCGGAAUUGGAUGAGCCCGCGUAAGAUUAGCUAGUUGGUGAGGUAAUGGCUCACCAAGGCGACGAUCUUUAGCUGGUCUGAGAGGAUGAUCAGCCACACUGGGACUGAGACACGGCCCAGACUCCUACGGGAGGCAGCAGUGGGGAAUAUUGGACAAUGGGCGCAAGCCUGAUCUAGCCAUGCCGCGUGAGUGAUGAAGGCCUUAGGGUUGUAAAGCUCUUUCAGUGGGGACGAUAAUGACGGUACCCAACAGAAGAAGCCCCGGCUAACUCGUAGCCAGCAGCCGCGGUAA